RNAcentral lists this ribosomal RNA (1069 nucleotides) under Triticum aestivum (bread wheat). Its description in RNAcentral is "partial small subunit ribosomal RNA". The record is from RNAcentral. Lineage: Eukaryota; Viridiplantae; Streptophyta; Magnoliopsida; Poales; Poaceae.
UUGCGGUGUGGGGUUUAGGUUAGGGGGCUAGUCGUCGUCUAGGUGGCCGCCGUUCCCGCCGCAUGGUAGCUAGCUAGGAGCCUCGAGCUUCGGCGCGGCGCCGCCUCCGCCCGCAGAGGGAAGGGCAGCGCAAUUAGCGGCAAGCUAGUCCGCCUCAGAGCGUCUCAGACCGCCUGAGCUAGCUCCUCGACCCCUAAUUAAGGAGCCUCAAUCGACGAUUAGGGGGUAGCGAAGUAGCGCCGUGCUUACUCUACUGAGUUGGGCUACUAGUAGUGUACCUCUACCUCGUUCACCCCGUGAGUCCCAGUGAGCGCCGCGUUAACAUAUCCGACUUAAAAGACCACGUGUUGGUAAAAGUUUCCUCCUUCGAACACCAAGUGUUGGUAGAAGCGCAUAGUGACAAGACCGUGUGUUGUUAGACUACGCCUACUAGUCUCCAACAACUAAAACUCUUAGCCUUCCUAUGACUCUUUACAUUCUUUCCUUCCUCUACCGUGGUGCUAGUCUCUACACCUUGGUAAAGUAGUUCUAAUGCCUACUUUUAUUACGUUUAUAUAACGCUAAAACUAUACUUCCGACUGUGCUUCCUGGUACCAUGCAAUAGGAACUAGUCUGUGAAGUUACACACGUUCGCGUUGGGAGUGUUCAAGUUGUUUAUAGGUUUCGUCCCGUGAAACGUUCGUUGAGUUCCCCUUCCGCAGGCCUGAACUCCAUACUAGAACUGCGCGAAUCCCUUCGAAAACGUCUCUACUAGUAUCUUCCACUCAAUCACAAACGAAUAAAAAUCUUCUGCACGAAAUCUUUAAACUACAAGUUUCGGACGGGUGCAAAGUUUGGCGGUAGAUCUUCUUGGACAUGGUCUCUGUGACACACUGACAAGAAGGUUCUCUUCCGAUUCGAGUUCUUGAAGAAGUUACUAAGAACAGUCGCUCAAAAGGAUUGUUGUAUAACAAGCAGAAGAGCCAUUGCUAUACCUAUAUACUGACACUGUUGUUCAAAAUAACUACUUAGAACCUCGGAUGUCUUCUUUUAGUAACCAAAAAAAUAACCACCUCCCCGUGUUUCCCCC